CCCUUUGGGGUGUGACUGCGUACCUUUUGUAUAAUGGGUCAGCGACUUAUAUUCUGUAGCAAGGUUAACCGAAUAGGGGAGCCGGAGGGAAACCGAGUCUUAAUUGGGCGUUAAGUUGCAGGGUAUAGACCCGAAACCCGGUGAUCUAGCCAUGGGCAGGUUGAAGGUUGGGUAACACUAACUGGAGGACCGAACCGACUAAUGUUGAAAAAUUAGCGGAUGACCUGUGGCUGGGGGUGAAAGGCCAAUCAAACCGGGAGAUAGCUGGUUCUCCCCGAAAGCUAUUUAGGUAGCGCCUCGUGAAUUCAUCUCCGGGGGUAGAGCACUGUUUCGGCUAGGGGGCCAUCCCGGCUUACCAACCCGAUGCAAACUGCGAAUACCGGAGAAUGUUAUCACGGGAGACACACGGCGGGUGCUAACGUCCGUCGUGAAGAGGGAAACAACCCAGACCGCCAGCUAAGGUCCCAAAGUCAUGGUUAAGUGGGAAACGAUGUGGGAAGGCCCAGACAGCCAGGAUGUUGGCUUAGAAGCAGCCAUCAUUUAAAGAAAGCGUAAUAGCUCACUGGUCGAGUCGGCCUGCGCGGAAGAUGUAACGGGGCUAAACCAUGCACCGAAGCUGCGGCAGCGACGCUGAUGCGUUGUUGGGUAGGGGAGCGUUCUGUAAGCCUGCGAAGGUGGCCUGUGAGGGUUGCUGGAGGUAUCAGAAGUGCGAAUGCUGACAUAAGUAACGAUAAAGCGGGUGAAAAGCCCGCUCGCCGGAAGACCAAGGGUUCCUGUCCAACGUUAAUCGGGGCAGGGUGAGUCGACCCCUAAGGCGAGGCCGAAAGGCGUAGUCGAUGGGAAACGGGUUAAUAUUCCCGUACUUGGUGUUACUGCGAAGGGGGGACGGAGAAGGCUAUGUUGGCCGGGCGACGGUUGUCCCGGUUUAAGCGUGUAGGUGUGUGUUCCAGGUAAAUCCGGUUCACUUUAACACUGAGGCGUGAUGACGAGGCACUACGGUGCUGAAGCAACAAAUGCCCUGCUUCCAGGAAAAGCCUCUAAGCAUCAGGUAACAUCAAAUCGUACCCCAAACCGACACAGGUGGUCAGGUAGAGAAUACCAAGGCGCUUGAGAGAACUCGGGUGAAGGAACUAGGCAAAAUGGUGCCGUAACUUCGGGAGAAGGCACGCUGACACGUAGGUGAAGUGAUUUACUCAUGGAGCUGAAGUCAGUCGAAGAUACCAGCUGGCUGCAACUGUUUAUUAAAAACACAGCACUGUGCAAACACGAAAGUGGACGUAUACGGUGUGACGCCUGCCCGGUGCCGGAAGGUUAAUUGAUGGGGUCAGCGCAAGCGAAGCUCCUGAUCGAAGCCCCGGUAAACGGCGGCCGUAACUAUAACGGUCCUAAGGUAGCGAAAUUCCUUGUCGGGUAAGUUCCGACCUGCACGAAUGGCGUAAUGAUGGCCAGGCUGUCUCCACCCGAGACUCAGUGAAAUUGAACUCGCUGUGAAGAUGCAGUGUACCCGCGGCAAGACGGAAAGACCCCGUGAACCUUUACUAUAGCUUGACACUGAACAUUGAGCCUUGAUGUGUAGGAUAGGUGGGAGGCUUUGAAGUGUGGACGCCAGUCUGCAUGGAGCCGGCCUUGAAAUACCACCCUUUAAUGUUUGAUGUUCUAACGUGGACCCGUGAUCCGGGUUGCGGACAGUGUCUGGUGGGUAGUUUGACUGGGGCGGUCUCCUCCUAAAGAGUAACGGAGGAGCACGAAGGUUGGCUAAUCCUGGUCGGACAUCAGGAGGUUAGUGCAAUGGCAUAAGCCAGCUUGACUGCGAGCGUGACGGCGCGAGCAGGUGCGAAAGCAGGUCAUAGUGAUCCGGUGGUUCUGAAUGGAAGGGCCAUCGCUCAACGGAUAAAAGGUACUCCGGGGAUAACAGGCUGAUACCGCCCAAGAGUUCAUAUCGACGGCGGUGUUUGGCACCUCGAUGUCGGCUCAUCACAUCCUGGGGCUGAAGUAGGUCCCAAGGGUAUGGCUGUUCGCCAUUUAAAGUGGUACGCGAGCUGGGUUUAGAACGUCGUGAGACAGUUCGGUCCCUAUCUGCCGUGGGCGCUGGAGAACUGAGGGGGGCUGCUCCUAGUACGAGAGGACCGGAGUGGACGCAUCACUGGUGUUCGGGUUGUCAUGCCAAUGGCACUGCCCGGUAGCUAAAUGCGGAAGAGAUAAGUGCUGAAAGCAUCUAAGCACGAAACUUGCCCCGAGAUGAGUUCUCCCUGAGACUUAGAGUCUCCUGAAGGAACGUUGAAGACGACGACGUUGAUAGGCCGGGUGUGUAAGCGCAGCGAUGCGUUGAGCUAACCGGUACUAAUGAACCGUGAGGCUUAACCUUACAACGCCGAAG
Molecule: ribosomal RNA, 2377 nt
Filed under: Salmonella enterica subsp. enterica serovar Give
Lineage: Bacteria; Pseudomonadati; Pseudomonadota; Gammaproteobacteria; Enterobacterales; Enterobacteriaceae
Description: partial 23S ribosomal RNA
Rfam family: Bacterial large subunit ribosomal RNA
Source: RNAcentral